Mercenaria mercenaria is the source of this 1078-nucleotide long non-coding RNA. RefSeq lists it as uncharacterized. The record is from RefSeq and is a predicted model, not a curated record. The transcript has 2 exons. Lineage: Eukaryota; Metazoa; Mollusca; Bivalvia; Venerida; Veneridae.
AUAUACCUUUAACCCUUAUCAUGCUGGAUACGACUGAUUAUGCCUUUGCGGCCAGUGAAGAUCUGCACUGCUCACCAUUCAGUCAGUAUAUUUUUGGUAAGCACCCCCUUUAAAACAGUUAACGAUCCAGUCCAAAUUGUAAGAUGAACAAGUUCAUUAUAGAAAUUUAGCAGGGUAAGGGUUAACGGCUCUUCUAAUAUAUGUCAUGACAAGUUACAACAGUUUGUAUGAAGGUAUGUCACAUCUAAUUUUUUUGUGUUGCUAAAAGCAAAGAUUUCAAAAAAAGUUAUGACCAAAUAAUUUCAGGAUGUGAUCAUCUAUGAUAUUGAAAACCAAUAUUCUCAAAGAUUUGUAUUUAAUUAUGUUAACCUAUGUUUUCAGAUGAAACUACUAGCACCAGAUUUGGAAAUUUUCACAAUUCUUUUGAGGACGUUCUCAGUUGGGAAGCUAGGUUCUUAGAUUGCGACAUGUCUUGCAUCCAUUUGCCCCUUUUGGUGGUAAAAUAAGAGUUGGACUAGGAACCACCUUAUUGGACAACAAGGAUAUUGCAUUACGGAAGCCGAUCUGUGGUUGGCUGCGUAGUAGAUCUUCAGCAACCAUCUCGGUGAGGACCGUCACAGGGGAAGUUCUAUUACUACGUCCGAAUCUCAGAGGAGACAGCAGAUUCAUUUCUGAUGUUUUGGGCGUCCAUUCUUGUUCUGGAAGGUUGUUUGCCAAUGAAUUUGGAGAAAGGGACGGAAAAUUUCUGAUCUGUCAAAGAAGAACGAUGAAAAUACAGAACAUAUAUUAUUUCAUUAUUUCACUUAUUGGGAGUUGUAGAAUAUUGCCAUAGUAUGUAAAACGUACAAUUUUUUGAGACUUUAUCUACACAGAAGUAAAACUGGCGUACUGACGAGGAUGACUUAUACAAAAUUAAUGUCUGAUUAACAUCAUCUCAUCAAAUACGUUCCUUUGACUGAGAUCGUGUCCUCCAAGCAGAAAUAUAUAUCAUAACCGUUUUAACAUUAAUAACAAAACAUAACAAAAUGUCUGCAUAUUGUAUGCAGCAGCUAUGUAAUUAAAACUGAAAGUAGAAUUU